CUAGGGCAUGGCAGUAAAAAUACCAUUUCAUUACAACUAACGCUUCAGAUCCCUCUAAGGUGAGCUAUCCAGCAUGCAAACAGUUAAGAUGACUCUGAAAAAUGCAUAUUUGUAUGUUAUUUUUAUCCAAAACAGUGCCUAAAAAGACAAACACGCAUUUUUAUAUUUCUGUAUUUUACACACAUAUGUGUAUAAUAAAAAAUAUAUAUAUAGAGGUAUACAAUAUCCCAGUAGUCUUGCACUCAAUAAUUGAUAUAAUCUUAUGCCCAGUGCUUAAUCCAGCAGUAGACUGUAAAAAAAAAAUCCAAAAAGGAUAGCACUCAUGGGACUUCUUUUACAAUUUAAAAAAACUUGUAUUGACAAUUUGAAAAAGAGGUCACAGGAGUGCUAUCCGUUUUUGGAACUUUUAUAUGUACAGUAAAUGAGUGUAUGUAUAUGUGCAUAUAAAAUCAAGCACACUCACUGACUCCCUAAACACCAGCUUCAAAGCUCAUAUAAGUUUAAAAAAUACAAUAAAGAAAUGAUUUAGACACAAAUAAAGGGGAUUUAGUUACAGUAUACGAUCAUACAUUGCCUAACUCUGCCACAAUAAAAAAAAAAAAAACAGUUUUCAUUUUGUGAGCUUUGAAGCUGGUGUUUAGUGAGUGAGUGAUUGCACUGUCUUCCCCAGCAGCACCCAGCACCCUUAUAAUGUAUGCAUGUCACUUUCUGUGGUCUGGCUGAAUUUGCAAAGACCCCCAACGGUUACAUUGCCGCUGGGGGUUUGUUGGAGGGAGGGCAAGUAAAAAUGAGAUUUACUGACCCAAACGUGUCCCUCACAGGCGCUGCCAUCUUCCUCUUAAGCUCCCGUGCUUCUGCACCACGAACCUACGUCACUGCUGCACGAGAGUGAGGUCUUUAGAGGAUCCCAUGAGACCACGUGAUCCUACAAAGACAGAGCCAAUUCUUCAAGUUUUGUUGAUUUCACAAUAUUUUGGCCCAAUAUUUUGGUACAAGCUGUUUACAAAUCCCAAAACACUUACUUGAUUAUGUUCCACUUACUGUGUAUAUGUUGGUUUACAAUAAAAGGUCUCUUUUAGCCCUGUUUCAUGUUGGAAUGGGAUAAUUUUAAUGCUGUCCCCAGUUACACGUGGCCAUGAUCUAGAAAUGAGUUUCACAAAGCACUUAUCAGGAUUAAAGCAUCAUAGUACAUUGGUACUUAUUUUUUUUAUAGGUACAAUAUACACAGCUCCAUUGUUGUGUAUGGAAUGAGAAUCUUGUCAAUGUUAAUACAGUCUUUAUAUUGCUGCUUCUGUUUGGUUUUUUUUAAAAUCUUCUCUUUAAUUGUAUUUAUUUAUUUUAAUUACGAUGCUAUGUCUGUCAUUACCAUUACUAUCUUAAUGGACUUAAUCUUUAUUAUGUAUAAAUUUUUGUCACUACGGCAGCACCAUUCCUGCAAGAUGCAUGUUUGGGGUGUGCCCCAAUUCCUUUUUGUAAUUACUCUGCAUGUUUGGAAUCCAGACAAGAUUCCCUUAGGGGUUAAACACCCUGUCCAGGCCCCCAGCUUCAGUAGCCUCUUUGGAGGUGACCACAAGUAUAUAUUUGAGGAAGUUUUGGAUAGUAAUGCCAUGAGUAUAUACAUCAAAGCACUAUCACUUUAAUUAUUUAGUUUUGACACUGCAUCUUUUAAAAUUGUGUUUAUCACAUUAAUUUUGUCUUAUAUUUAUUCAUAGCGCUCUUACAACAGAUUAUUUAAAUACACUUUACAGUUAGCACUAGCACUUUUUAAUUUGUCUCCCACGUUGGAAUUAGUGUAGGAUCCCCCAAUAUUGGGAUACUGUUAAAUAGUUUUAGGCUUAACACAAUAUGGCCAUGUGGUGGAACUAAAUUUUCAUAUUUGUUUGCUGAGAUAGGCGAUUUUAAGUAGCCUUACUGAAUUCAGAAAUGUAUUUUUAUGUGUGGGCUGUUCCUUAAUAUAUGCUACCAUUACUAUAACAUGGAGACUCGACUGUUAAUUUCACUUUUUGCUUCUCAGUGAUGUUUUUUUACAGUAUAUUUUGUAUAUUUACAAAACAUGUAAAGCUUAAACAAAGUUCAGUAAUUGUAUUUACUCCCUACAUCGCUCUUCAAGACUUUCCCACCCCAUGCAAACAGUAAAUGUAUACAUUAUUUAUAAUCUAAUAUAUUUUACGGUCUCACUUUCAAAUUCAUUGUUUUCAAUCUCAUUAUCUGUUACAUUAGGUACUAGAGAAUGAAGAAAGAAAGACGCUAAUAAUCUAACACUUACUGUUCUAAAGAAAGCAGGCCUGGACAUGGAUGUUAAAAUACACUUACAAUAGCUGCCAGACUCAUCAGCAGCAGUUGGUUGUUGAGUCUCUGUGUUUGAAACAUCAUUACUUAAACAUUAUCUGGAAAAAUAAAUUGUGCUUCCUGCGAAGUGAAGAUUAAGCACUAUCUCCCUCUCUUUCUUCCUAAGAAUAUGUGAGAAUGGAGAGGCUUAUUUAUAACUGGGCCUGCAAAGCAGCACAUGGAGAGAUUAAAGAGCAGGCUGAUGUCACCAUGGGACAGAGAGGUUGCUAAAUCUGGAAGCGAUUCGAUGAGAGAGUGAGUGAUGCAACACGUGGUGUGAGAUGUCUUUGUUUACACAGAGCUGGAAAGACAUGCCUAGAUCCUUUGGCAAAGGAGGGAGCUUUACAUUUAACUGAGCUGUGCCCUUUUACACUUCACUGUGAUAUGUUGUAGUAUUCAAAGCCAUAAGACAAUGAUUUGUGCCUAGUGUUUUACCACAUUUUUUUUCAAAACUAUACUAGAUCACAAUCCACUUCAAUUUUUAUUUUUAUUUUUUUAAUUGCUUCAUAUCAUGGAGUCAUUCCAAAAGUUUACUGUCUCAGACACACUAUUUUCCCUAGAUUUUACAGAGCUGCUGUUUGGCAUACCGUGCCUUUGCAGAACUUUAUGCCCAAUAUGUGCAAUGUGGUCCCUUGCUACACCAUCUGUACCUACAACUGUAUUUAGUCAAUGCAACAACGUAUGAUUUUAUAAAAAAUGUCCAUGGGAGUUAUGUUCUAUCACUAUAUACAUGUCAAUGUUUUUGUGAAAGACAAUAUAAUUUAGAUAUAUAUAGCAAACUUUUUUUUGUAAAUACAGGGAGUGCAGAAUUAUUAGGCAAGUUGUAUUUUUGAGGAUUAAUUUUAUUAUUGAACAACAACCAUGUUCUCAAUGAAUCCAAAAAAACUCAUUAAUAUCAAAGCUGAAUAUUUUUGGAAGUAGUUUUUAGUUUGUUUUUAGUUAUAGCUAUGUUAGGGGGAUAUCUGUGUGUGCAGGUGACUAUUACUGUGCAUAAUUAUUAGGCAACUUAACAAAAAACAAAUAUAUACCCAUUUCAAUUAUUUAUUAUUACCAGUGAAACCAAUAUAACAUCUCAACAUUCACAAAUAUACAUUUCUGACAUUCAAAAACAAAACAAAAACAAAUCAGUGACCAAUAUAGCCACCUUUCUUUGCAAGGACACUCAAAAGCCUGCCAUCCAUGGAUUCUGUCAGUGUUUUGAUCUGUUCACCAUCAACAUUGCGUGCAGCAGCAACCACAGCCUCCCAGACACUGUUCAGAGAGGUGUACUGUUUUCCCUCCUUGUAAAUCUCACAUUUGAUGAUGGACCACAAGUUCUCAAUGGGGUUCAGAUCAGGUGAACAAGGAGGCCAUGUCAUUAGAUUUUCUUCUUUUAUACCCUUUCUUGCCAGCCACGCUGUGGAGUACUUGGACGCGUGUGAUGGAGCAUUGUCCUGCAUGAAAAUCAUGUUUUUCUUGAAGGAUGCAGACUUCUUCCUGUACCACUGCUUGAAGAAGGUGUCUUCCAGGAACUGGCAGUAGGACUGGGAGUUGAGCUUGACUCCAUCCUCAACCCGAAAAGGCCCCACAAGCUCAUCUUUGAUGAUACCAGCCCAAACCAGUACUCCACCUCCACCUUGCUGGCGUCUGAGUCGGACUGGAGCUCUCUGCCCUUUACCAAUCCAGCCACGGGCCCAUCCAUCUGGCCCAUCAAGACUCACUCUCAUUUCAUCAGUCCAUAAAACCUUAGAAAAAUCAGUCUUGAGAUAUUUCUUGGCCCAGUCUUGACGUUUCAGCUUGUGUGUCUUGUUCAGUGGUGGUCGUCUUUCAGCCUUUCUUACCUUGGCCAUGUCUCUGAGUAUUGCACACCUUGUGCUUUUGGGCACUCCAGUGAUGUUGCAGCUCUGAAAUAUGGCCAAACUGGUGGCAAGUGGCAUCGUGGCAGCUGCACGCUUGACUUUUCUCAGUUCAUGGGCAGUUAUUUUGCGCCUUGGUUUUUCCACACGCUUCUUGCGACCCUGUUGACUAUUUUGAAUGAAACGCUUGAUUGUUCGAUGAUCACGCUUCAGAAGCUUUGCAAUUUUAAGAGUGCUGCAUCCCUCUGCAAGAUAUCUCACUAUUUUUGACUUUUCUGAGCCUGUCAAGUCCUUCUUUUGACCCAUUUUGCCAAAGGAAAGGAAGUUGCCUAAUAAUUAUGCACACCUGAUAUAGGGUGUUGAUGUCAUUAGACCACACCCCUUCUCAUUACAGAGAUGCACAUCACCUAAUAUGCUUAAUUGGUAGUAGGCUUUCGAGCCUAUACAGCUUGGAGUAAGACAACAUGCAUAAAGAGGAUGAUGUGGUCAAAAUACUCAUUUGCCUAAUAAUUCUGCACUCCCUGUAUAUGUUUAUUGAUUUUAAAAUGUUUUUCAUUUAUAUAGUUAUGGAAGGUACACCUUUCGAAUCACAGGGACAUGAUUUGAAAAAGAUGAUGGUAUCGCAGGACCAAAAAUUCAUUAGCCACAGCUUCAUGACAUGGAACUCACAGGUCCCUUAAAGUGAAAAGUAAAAUCAGUAUUUUCAGUCAUGUAUAUCAACGUUUCCAUUUGCUAUGCAUAUCCAGCUUUUCUGCAAUACAAAACAUCUAAAAUGGAUGGAAUGACCUAAAAUGUGACUCUGCGAUGGAUAUGAUUG
This 4980-nucleotide long non-coding RNA is filed under the name Pelobates cultripes (western spadefoot toad). Lineage: Eukaryota; Metazoa; Chordata; Amphibia; Anura; Pelobatidae. The record is from RNAcentral.